Molecule: ribosomal RNA, 810 nt
Filed under: uncultured bacterium
Lineage: Bacteria
Description: bacterial SSU rRNA
Rfam family: Bacterial small subunit ribosomal RNA
Source: RNAcentral
AGAGUUUGAUCAUGGCUCAGAAUCAACGCUGGCGGCGUGCCUAACACAUGCAAGUCGAACGCGAAAGUGGAGCAAUCCAUGAGUAGAGUGGCAAACGGGUGAGUAACGCGUGGGCGACCUACCUUCAAGUGGGGGGAUAACCUUCCGAAAGGAGGGCUAAUACCGCAUAACAUCCUGCCUUUGGAUAGGCGGGUAUCAAAGCCGGGGAUCGCAAGACCUGGCGCUAGAAGAGGGGCCCGCGUCCGAUUAGCUAGUUGGUGAGGUAACGGCUCACCAAGGCUCCGAUCGGUAUCCGGCCUGAGAGGGCGGACGGACACACUGGAACUGAGACACGGUCCAGACUCCUACGGGAGGCAGCAGUGGGGAAUUGUUCACAAUGGGCGCAAGCCUGAUGACGCAACGCCGCGUGGAGGAUGAAGAUUUUCGGAUCGUAAACUCCUUUCGACCGAGAUGAAUUUCUGCCGACCUAAUACGUCGGCAGGGUGACAGUAUCGAGGGAAGCAGCCCCGGCUAACUCCGUGCCAGCAGCCGCGGUAAUACGGGGGGGGCAAGCGUUGUUCGGAAUUACUGGGCGUAAAGGGUUCGUAGGUGGCUUGCUAAGUCAGACGUGAAAUCCCUCAGCUUAACUGGGGAACUGCGUCUGAGACUGGCAAGCUUGAGUGCAGGAGAGGAACGCGGAAUUCCAGGUGUAGCGGUGAAAUGCGUAGAUAUCUGGAGGAACACCGGUGGCGAAGGCGGCGUUCUGGACUGUAACUGACACUGAAGAACGAAAGCCAGGGGAGCAAACGGGAUUAGAUACCCUAGUAGUCC